This is a long non-coding RNA of Tripterygium wilfordii, 1024 nucleotides long. RefSeq lists it as uncharacterized. NCBI's taxonomy places the organism in Eukaryota, Viridiplantae, Streptophyta, Magnoliopsida, Celastrales, Celastraceae. The transcript has 3 exons. The record is from RefSeq and is a predicted model, not a curated record.
UUGGAUUUCAUAUGUAGUGCCGCACAAAGAGAAUUCAAAAGCAAACCUUCGAUUUUACAAACGCUCUCUCGCAAACUCAAACUCUCCAUCGUGAACUCUAACUCUCCAGCACGAACUCCAGGGGGUUUCAUUACAAUGGUGAAAAUGAGAGCAAUUCGCACUCUCUCUCAGAGUAUGAGGAGACGUUGUUGUAUACUUCUAACACAAAUUCAGAGGUCGAGCCACUGCUUAGCCUAUCUAGCAAGUAAUGAAAAGCUUUCCACCAAGAACAACCAACAAUGGAGGUAGACCUAGGUAGGUAUCAUGUUGUGUUGCUUCUUGAACACUAAUUAGAGAAAUAAGGAAUUGUCGCUAUCUUGCCUAUGUAUGUUAACUAAAAAAGAGGCUUGUUUUGUUGAAAUUCAUUAACUGACCUGACACACUACCAUAUCCCUCAAAAAUUUUCUUGAUACAACUCCAAUCAACAGCCAUCACAUAGCAAAAUAAAAGGCUAUCAUCCUCAAAUAAUAGGUUGUAUUAUUAUUAGGUUUGAAUCCUAACUAAAUAACCUAAUGUAUUUUGAACAAAUAAUCGGCUGUAUUAUUAUUAUGUUUGAAUCCUAGCUAAAUAAGUUGAUGUAUUUUGAACUUAUAACAUAUGAAUAGUACUAUAUGAGUUUUGCAUAUUUUUAUGUGUAAGGGUGGGUCCAGUUUCCGAUGUUGCUGUGCAUAAGAAUAAGUUUCAAGAUAUUGAUAAGCUCAAUGGUUAGUUCAAGUGGCAAGUCAAGUCUUGAUAAGCACCUUAAAGUCUUGUUGUGGAUUUUAUUUUUAAGAUUACCUUCAGAUUUUUGAAAAUCAUGGUGUUAGGUACCGUAUCCCAUGACUAGGUCAAGAUUGGAUUUCUUAACCCACUCUCUGCCCUGUUGACAAUCCCAACUAUAUUCAUCUCAAAGAUAUUGUUUGCUUUGGGUUUACAUGUUCUUAUGGAUAAAUUGGGCAUGCAUAUUUUAUUCUUCAUAAGUUAUUUUCACUUAAUGAUACUUAGG